AACGAACGCUGGCGGCAUGCCUAACACAUGCAAGUCGAACGAGACCUUCGGGUCUAGUGGCGCACGGGUGCGUAACGCGUGGGAACCUGCCCUUAGGUUCGGAAUAACUCCCCGAAAGGGGUGCUAAUACCGGAUAAUGUCUUCGGACCAAAGAUUUAUCGCCUUUGGAUGGGCCCGCGUUGGAUUAGCUAGUUGGUAGGGUAAAAGCCUACCAAGGCGACGAUCCAUAGCUGGUCUGAGAGGAUGAUCAGCCACACUGGGACUGAGACACGGCCCAGACUCCUACGGGAGGCAGCAGUGGGGAAUAUUGGACAAUGGGCGCAAGCCUGAUCCAGCCAUGCCGCGUGAGUGAUGAAGGCCUUAGGGUUGUAAAGCUCUUUUACCCGGGAUGAUAAUGACAGUACCGGGAGAAUAAGCCCCGGCUAACUCCGUG
RNAcentral lists this ribosomal RNA (433 nucleotides) under uncultured bacterium. RNAcentral's name for it is "partial 16S ribosomal RNA". It matches the Rfam family "Bacterial small subunit ribosomal RNA", at positions 29 to 507 of the family's 1533-position model. The record is from RNAcentral.